UAGUCCACGCCGUAAACGACGGAUACUAGGUGUCCGGGAUAUUAACCUCCUGGGUACUACAGUUAACGCGUUAAGUAUCCCGCCUGGGGAGUACGGUCGCAAGGCUAAAACUCAAAGGAAUUGACGGGGGCCCGCACAAGCGGUGGAGUAUGUGGUUUAAUUCGAAGCAACGCGCAGAACCUUACCUACCCUUAACAUUUCACGACAUAUACAGAGAUGUAUAUUUCUCUUCGGAGACGUGAGGAUAGGUGCUGCAUGGCUGUCGUCAGCUCGUGUCGUAAGAUGUCUGGUUAAGUCCAAUAACGAGCGCAACCCUUAUCUUUAGUUGCCAGCACAUAAUGGUGGGGACUCUAAAGAGACUGCCAGCGCAAGCUGUGAGGAAGGAGGGGACGACGUCAAGUCAUCAUGGCCCUUACGCCUAGGGCUACACACGUGCAACAAUGGUGCAUACAGAGAGUCGCGAUCCGGCAACGGUCAGCCAAUCUCACAAAGUGCAU
RNAcentral lists this ribosomal RNA (497 nucleotides) under uncultured bacterium. RNAcentral's name for it is "bacterial SSU rRNA". It matches the Rfam family "Bacterial small subunit ribosomal RNA", at positions 791 to 1286 of the family's 1533-position model. The record is from RNAcentral.